This 4438-nucleotide ribosomal RNA is filed under the name Candidatus Saccharimonadota bacterium. Its description in RNAcentral is "Candidatus Saccharibacteria bacterium 23S ribosomal RNA". It matches the Rfam family "Bacterial large subunit ribosomal RNA". Lineage: Bacteria; Candidatus Saccharimonadota. The record is from RNAcentral.
AAAGGUACUCAAGGGCACACAACGGAUGCCUAGACGUAUAUUACCGAUGAAGGACGUGGAAGGCUGCGAAAAGCCUCGGGGAGCUGUCUACAAGCUUUGAUCCGGGGAUAUCCGAAUGGGGAAACCCAGCACGAGUCAUGUCGUGUUACCGUUACCUGAAUACAUAGGGUAAUUGAGAGGGAACCAUCUGAACUGAAACAUCUUAGUAGGAUGAGGAAAAGAAAAUAAAUAAUGAUCCUGGGAGUAGUGGCGAGCGAAACUGGGAGAGCCCAAACCUUAUCAUGCUCCAGCUGUAUCUCACUGUGUUCGAUACGCUAGAGCAGAGUCAAGAGUUAUGAUUCAAGAGUUAUGAGUAGUUGCGGAAAUUAUUUUGCGAUUAUUCUUAUCUCGUGUCUCUUAUCUCAUGUCUCUGCAUUAGCCUCGAGCGUGGCGAGAUACAGCCGGUACGGCUGUUAGGCUAAUGCAUAUAGGGUGUUGUGAGUUUACAAAUGACCAAGUCAGAGAUUUUAACUUCGGUUAAAUCCUCUGAUUUGCGAUCGACAGCUAACACUGAGCGAGUAAGGUAAAAAAUCCGCGUUGCUAGCAGAAUAGUUUGAAUGACUAGCCAAAGGGCGUGAAAGCCGUGUACGCGAAAGCGACGCUGACCUUAUGUUUGUUUUCUCGAGUAAGUCGGGACACGAGAAAUCCUGAUUGAAUCCGGCAGGACCACCUGCCAAGGCUAAAUAUAAUAUACGAUCGAUAGUGAACAAGUACAGUGAUGGAAAGGUGAAAAGAACCCCGGGAGGGGAGUGAAAUAGAUCCUGAAAUUGUGUGCCUACAAGGAGUCGGAGCCCCUCACCAUUCUUAUCGACAUGUAUACUGAGCUAAAGUAGCCGGUAUGUUUUAUGUUUAUCUCGUUCGUAGCAAUCAGCUUGACCAAUAUUAUAUUGGCCAGACUAAUGACCUGCGAAAACGGAUAGAGCAACAUAAAACAGGCCAAUCAAUCUAUACCAGUCGCGUAGACGAUUGGGAGUUGAUUUACUACGAAGCGUAUACAUCACGAAGCUUAGCAAUGUUACGAGAACGUGCACUCAAACCGAGAGCAAAAGCGUUCCGUGAAUUGCUGAAGCGAGUUGUCGAUAAAGAUGGUGAGGGGUGACGGCGUGCUUUUUGUAGAACGAUCCAGCGAGUUACUUUUAUCAGCGAGGUUAAGUCAAGUGACGGAGCCAUAGUGAAAGCGAGGGUUAAUAACCCGAUUUAGUUGAUAGGAGUAGACCCGAAACCGGGUGACCUAACCAUGGGCAGGUUGAAGCUGCGGUAAAGCGCAGUGAAGGACCGAACCGUAGCAUGUUUCAAAAUGCCCGGAUGACCUGUGGUUAGAGGUGAAAUGCCAAUCGAACUCGGAGAUAGCUGGUUCUCCUCGAAAUAGCUUUAGGGCUAGCGUCAUGUAGUAGCAGUCGGGGGUAGAGCUCUGUAAAGGACUGGGGGGAGCAAUCCUACCCACCCUUAACAAACUACGAAUACCGUCUGUGUAAUCAUGGCAGUCAGAACGUCGGGGCUAAGCUCGGCGCUCGAAAGGGAAACAGCCCAGACCAUCGUCUAAGGUCCCUAAAUAUACGUUAAGUGGGAAACAAGGUGAGAUUUCUUAAACAGCUAGGAUGUUGGCUUAGAAGCAGCCAUUCAUUUAAAGAGUGCGUAACAGCUCACUAGUCAAGAGAUCUUGCGUGGAAAAUGUAACGGGGCUCAAACGUAUUACCGAAGACAUGGAUGUCGUGUAUAAGACCAAAUCUGUGGUUCUUAUUAUUUUGCGAUUCUCAACUAUUGAUACGCAAUUUUCGGCGAAUUUAUUUCGCGAACAUUGUGGCAUCUCAGGGAAAAAGAGCAGCGAAGCGAUGAGAAAAAACCGUAGGUUUUGUCUUAUACACGGCGUGGUAGAGGAGCGUUCCUAUCUGCAGUGAAGCAGUUUUGGAAAGAACUGUGGAGCGUUAGGAAGUGAGAAUGCUGGAAUGAGUAACCAUAAGAGGGGUGAGAAUCCCCUCGGCCGAAAGAGCAAGGUUUCCUGAGCGAUGGUAAUCAUCUCAGGGUUAGUCGGGCCUAAGCCGAGGCGUGUAGCGUAGGCGAUGGACAUCAGGUUUAUAUUCCUGGACCGGUUAAGUUUUGUACACUGUUCACGGCGAGAGAGUCAGAGCGGAUUCAUGGUAUAUAUCCGUCCAACCGAGCGGGAACGCAAAGGGAGUGAAAGUGGUUCUUCGGAACCGCGAUUCUGGUGAUAGCGCUGGCUAGAAAAGCAGAUGUACGCGUGGACUUAGCCGCCCGUACCGCAAACCGACACAGGUGCUCGAGUCGAGAAGACUAAGGCUUACGAGAGACCCUUUGCUAAGGAACUCGGCAAUACAGCGACCGUAACUUCGGGAUAAGGUCUGCCCCCUCACACUGUAUUUAACAGUGAGAGGUGCCGUUUUCUAAAGUCGAAGAUUAUGGUUGAGUACCUAAUAACCUUUUUAAGGUAACAAUCGAAAUCAAUUUGUUGAGAAAAGUGACAACUAGAAAACGUGCUCACUUACGCUUAGUUUAAUUUCUAAAGAUGUUAAAUCUAGUGUGAGGGGGCCGCAGCUAAAGAGCCCACGGAACUGUUUAUCAAAAACACAGGUCUCUGCUAACACGAAAGUGGAUGUAUAGGGGCUGACUCCUGCCCGGUGCUGGAAGGUUAAGGGGAGUGCUUCACGGUGCGAACUGAAGCCCCAGUGAACGGCGGCGGUAACUAUAACCGUCCUAAGGUAGCGAAAUUCCUUGUCAGGUAAUGAAUUUGCCUGAGUGUCAAGGUGACUUGACACAAGCAACCCAACUAAUAACGGGGAAAUCUACUGUUGCGCUAUGCAACUAUGACAAUCCCGUGGCAAUCUAUCCUCAAAGAUAGGAAGCCGUAACGACUGAUCCGAAAGGAGAGGUACAUAUGAAACACGAUGUACAAGAUGUUGGCUCUCGCGAGGUAAAACGCAGUUUCACGGAUGAGGCUUGGUAUGUCACUGGUUUCACGGAUGGAGAAGGAUGUUUUUCGAUCUCAUACACGAUGCGCGCCAAAAUGCGUACGGGUAUUGAGAUCAGGCCGAGUUUUUCAAUCGGCCAAAACAAACGCAGCCUUCAGGUUUUGCAAGAUAUCAAAACCUAUUUCGGAUGUGGGGCGAUUCGUUUUUCUAAGAGUGAUCAACUUUAUAAGUAUGAAGUUCGUUCAAUCAAAGAUUUGCGUUCGCGUAUAAUCCCGCAUUUUCAGAAAUAUCCACUGAAAACCAGCAAACAAGUCGACUUUGCCACCUUUGCGUGGAUAUGUGACGAAAUAGCCGCUAUGCGGCAUCUUUCGCCAGUAUAUCUGCGUGAGAUCAUCGAGCGCUCAUCGCUCAUGAAUGAAGCUGGCAAGCGACGAUACGACAAGCUAACACUCCUAAAAAUACUGUCGCGAGAUGAAGAUAUAGUCUGAUCUGUCGUGAAAACGACAGCUAACAACGUAUGAAGUUCUGACCCGCACGAAUGGAGUAAUCAUGUGGGCACUGUCUCAGCAAAGGACUCGGUGAAAGUGCAUUGGCGGUAAAGAUGCCGUCUGUCCGCACCAGGACGAAAAGACCCCGUGCAGCUUUACUACAGCUUUGCAUUGUUCCGGGUUACAACAUGUGUAGCAUAGGUGGGAGCCUUUGAAGCGGAUACGCUAGUAUUCGUGGAGGCACAGGUGAAAUACCACCCUUGUUGUGAUCUUGAGCUAACCUUGACCGUUAUCCGGUUAGGGAACAGUGCAUGGUGGGUAGUUUAACUGGGGCGGUUGCCUCCCAAAGAGUAGCGGAGGCGUUCAAAGGUUGGCUAGCUUCGGAUGGAAAUCGAAGUGAUAGUGUAUACGCAUAAGCCAGCUUGACUGUGAGGAUUACAAUCCAAUCAGAUACGAAAGUAGGAGUAAGUGAUCCGCUAGACGUACAAUUGUACAUGAAUGUGGGAUCGCUAGCGCAAACGGAUAAAAGUUACGCCGGGGAUAACAGGCUUAUCGCGCCCAAUAGUUCACAUAGACGGCGCGGUUUGGCACCUCGAUGUCGGCUCAUCACAUCCUGGAGGGGGAGCACCUUCCAAGGGUUCGGCUGUUCGCCGAUUAAAGUGGUACGCGAGCUGGGUUCAGAACGUCGUGAGACAGUUCGGUUUAUAUCCGGUGUGGACGUUAGGAAAUUUGAGAGGAUCUGCCCCUAGUACGAGAGGACCGGGGUGGACGCACCUCUGGUGUAUCGAUUGUCGCCACCUGCGGCAUUGUCGAGUAGCUAUGUGCGGUCUAGAUAAGCGCUGAAAGCAUAUUAAGCGCGAAACUAACCUCAAGAUGAGAUUUCCCUAUGAGGACCCAGAAAGAUGAUCUGGUUGAUAGGCGCAAGGUGGAAGCACGGUAACGUGUGGAGCUGAAGCGUACUAAUAGUCCCAUCGCCUUUUUAUG